ACCUACUUUUUUCAACUCUUCCCAAACUAACCUAGUUUUUUCAUAUUCUAAUAUUUGGUUAUAAUUAUAAAUAUACAAUAUUAUUAAUAUAUAUAUAUUUAUUGAAUUAAUUUUUUGAAUAUUAUAUUUUCAAUAAUAAAUUAAAAUAUNUCUCGAAAUAAAGAACAAAAAAAAAUAGUGAGAAAACAAGCUAAUCCGAAAGAUUAAAAAUAAAGGUGCGAAAAAUUAAUUUUAAUCCCCGGCAGCGGCGCCAAAAACUUGAUGUGCUAGAAAUAAAACUUUUAAAUCGCAAGCGCACGAUCACCGUUUUAAUAUUUACAUUAAAGAUCUUUUUGAGGACAACGCGCACUGAUGUGCUAGAAAUAAAACUUUUAAAUCGCAAGCGCACGAUCACCGUUUUAAUAUUUAAGAUUCGUCCACAGAGAUUAAAAUUAUUUUCGCAACCUAUUAUUAUUAACCUAGGCGGAUGAGAACCAUAUUUUUAGAAUUUCGGGUUUAUUAGCUAAUUAAUGAGCAGGAGAAAUUGACUACUAAUUCGAAUACAACCAAUUAAACUAGAAAUUAACUAAAAUUAAACUCGCAAAUACAAGACUUAAAAGUUACAAAUAAUUAAGAAAGUUUCUGCAUGAUAUCUCUAAAAGCUAAGCUAGCCUAUAACAUAUUAUUAUCAACAGAAGAUAACCACGUUGACUACCCAGCCAUUUAGUUAAUCUAAAAGAAAUAUAAAAGGAAAUAAACUAGGCACAUGUACUAAAUACACUCACAAAAACAAUUCCUACACCAGGCUAAACGCGGGGUCACUGAACCUAGUAAACUAACAUGACGCUACAAAGGAAAUAAAAGAAAACUACAGAAAGUUAUACUCCACUGCUAGACUUAAAAAUAAAAGAAACGAAGCAAGCCAACAACUCGAAAAACAUGAACUAAUCAAAACAACUCGGUAAAAGAACAUGGACUCGAAAACAGACUCGAAUGGAAACCCAGCAGCAAGACUCAAUACUGGACUCAAUUACUAAAAAGUCUAAAACAAAGAAACACAGCAACAACUCGCAGAAUGAAAGAAACUACUCAAUACAAAACCCAGAACUCGGCGAUAAACAACUCUAACACAGAACAACGCAGCCACAACGAAAAGGACUCGGAAGAUGACUCAACUGACUCGGAAUAAUCGAACAAACACAACUACAACUCAGCUAAUCAGAACCCAAGCAGAGAAGACUCAAAAUUCCAAAUCAAACAAAACAAAGCCUACACUAAACUGGGAACUCAGCACAGCAACAACGCAAACUUAAAACUCGGAACUCGACCCUGGUAUUGAAAGAACAAGACUCAGCCACUCAAACAAAUCGCUGCAAGAACAGCCAUCAAAAACUCUACAAACAAACGCAGAACUCGACAAAAACUACAGAAACGCAGCGAUUCAAAAACAGAAAAAACAGAAAGCAUGAACUCGCGACUCGAACUAAACUAACGAAUUAAAACUCAGCUACUGAACCUAGUGACUCGAAAACUCAGAAUAUCGCGAACUCAGCAUCAUACAAAAGCGAAAUCAGAACCCAACUCAGCUUUUAAUAAACAGUAAUUAGACAACUCGGUGCAAACUCGGCGGCGACUCAGUCAUACCAAACAGAACAACAACUUGGUAAAUCAACAGUACUAAAACAGGGCAUGGCGUCGUAAGUUUAAAAUGGAACAGGGGUUUGGGAGUUCAUUUUAAUGAAAACAGAGGAAGGGUUUGGGGUUUUAUGUUUUAAACGAAACAGGGGAGAAGUGGGUUUGUAUAUAAAACAAGUAAUUUAACUUAAGCAAAAGCAGAUCUAGUCGAAAAGAACUGGGUUGGAUUAUUUUAAUAACGAAAUCAGAGCAAAUAAUAACUUACUAUUCGCACUUUAAAACUAUAAAUGUAAUAAUGUAGGAGUUUUAAGUCUAAACCCUAACACAAAUUAAUUUUGUGCUAGGAUUUAGUUUACUACUUCAAAAGAUCACAAAUCUACACUAAUCACAAACUCAAUGAUUCUUCAUUUCCCAAAAGCUUAAAAGCAUGGGGUGGUACUUUAGAAGAGUCAUUCAACUUGGAGAACAUAAAUUAAAAAGACAAUACAAGAUUAAGAUAAAAGAGAUUUGCAUAGAAAUUAAAGAGUGUAUACAAGCUUGGAAAGGAAAUUGGGGCUAGCAAAAUGUAAAUCUAUCUAAGAUACUAACUAUAGAAAUGACUAGGUAGAAAAGGUGGGUAGGUGGCUAGGGUUGCUAGGUUGGUGAUUACAAGUAAAAGAAGAGGGGUAUUUAUAACUAAAGAAUUAGGGUUUAGGGGUAGGGUGGCUCCAUCUUGACCAUCCAUGUGCCUUGAGUGUUGGGAGAAUUGUGGCCAUCCAUGUGUCCUUUACUUGCCAACCCUUUUUCUUUUUCUUCUUUUCUUUUCAUUUUCUUCUUUUUCUUGCAUUUUCUCUUCUUUCUUUAUUUAUCUACAAUUUCCUGAAAUAAAAUAAAUAAGCGAUUAAUACUACGAAAAUAAACAAAAAAUAGGCACUUAAAUAUGCAAAAAUAUGGACUAAUCAAACUUCCCCAUACCUAUCUUUUGCUCGUCCUCGAGUAAAAAUCAAAAGAAAAGAAAAUAAACUAAGAAAACUAGAUGCGAUUCCUAGGCUCCUUUUCGUAGGCGUGACGGGUGAUUUUAGGUUCACCAACCCGUUAAACUCGUAGACGAUCUCUACAAGAGGAGUUUUGUCUCCUAAGGGUUUACAGAAGAUAUACCCAUAAAAUCUUCGAGACAUUCUAGCAAGUGUCUACUCGACUCUACUCUAAUUUCGUUGGUGUUAACAAAAAGCGUUUUUAAGGAAAAUACGACUUAAAGACUCAUCUACUAAUAAUCAAGAUACAGUUGUCUCUAAUCUACUUGCAUCGACACAAAGAUUUACUAGAAAUCCAAGGAGUGUAAGUAAUUUAAGGCCUUUGAUGGAUCCUAAUUGUCUAAGAACACUUUCUCUUUUUCAACCAAUUUUGAACUGACCCAAUCUCUAUCGAAACAAAUAUCUAGCCAAACUUCACAAACUCUUAUUCUUUUUUUUUUCUUUUUUUUUUUUUUUUUUUUUUUUUUUUUUGGCAUUGACUUUAUUUUGUCCGUUUUCUUAGGCAAACAAUGUUACCCAUGUAGCGAGCUUUGGGUCAGUGACUCCCAAACCAAACGGUCUUAGGGCACUAGGUUUUGAAAUCCCCCUACGGACUUAAUUGCUCGAGUAACAAAGGCCACAAAACGAGACUAGCCAAUCUACUUUUGCCCAUUUAUCAAAAGAUUUUAUCUAUAAAGAACAAUGGGUAUUGAAGUAGUUAUUCCUUUUCUUUUUUUCUUUUUCUUUUUUUCUAUUCUUUUCCCUUUUUUUUAUUCGCAAAGGUUCGAUUCGACAUUGUUUCAACAUGUGGGUUCUCUCUCAGGUAUCGAAUAAUAUCACUAGACAAUCUCUCCAUCAAAGGUCUUGUGCAAAUGUGUGUGCCAUCUUGGAAUUACGAGUACAAAUCGGUCGAUACAAGUUUCAAAAAGACAACAUUACUCAACUACGUUCAAAUUAUCUAAAAGACAAGACACUAUAUAUACUUUUCGAAAACAUGCUAAACACCAACUACUCCUAAAGUUCGAGUGAGGGAAAGACAACUUAGCUAAAAGUAUCUCUAUUUUUGGAUUUUCUAAUUUUUUCAUUUUUUAGGGAUUUUCAUUUUUUAAGAAUUACACUAAAGCCCUCCCCAUACCUAAAUCAUGCAUUGUCCUCAAUGUAUGCAAAAGAGAGAAUUGAAAUGAGAGAGUAAAGAGGAAAAAUACCUGAAUAGG
RNAcentral lists this long non-coding RNA (3820 nucleotides) under Daucus carota (carrot). RNAcentral's name for it is "long non-coding RNA (DCAR_LNC001281)". The record is from RNAcentral. Lineage: Eukaryota; Viridiplantae; Streptophyta; Magnoliopsida; Apiales; Apiaceae.